GACGAACGCUGGCGGCGUGCCUAAUACAUGCAAGUAGAACGCACAGUUUAUACCGUAGCUUGCUACACCAUAAACUGUGAGUUGCGAACGGGUGAGUAACGCGUAGGUAACCUGCCUGGUAGCGGGGGAUAACUAUUGGAAACGAUAGCUAAUACCGCAUAAUAUUGAUUAUUGCAUGAUAAUUGAUUGAAAGAUGCUAUUGCAUCACUACCAGAUGGACCUGCGUUGUAUUAGCUAGUAGGUGAGGUAACGGCUCACCUAGGCGACGAUACAUAGCCGACCUGAGAGGGUGAUCGGCCACACUGGGACUGAGACACGGCCUAGACUCCUACGGGAGGCAGCAGUAGGGAAUCUUCGGCAAUGGACGAAAGUCUGACCGAGCAACGCCGCGUGAGUGAAGAAGGUUUUCGGAUCGUAAAGCUCUGUUGUAAGAGAAGAACGGGUGUGAGAGUGGAAAGUUCACACUGUGACGGUAUCUUACCAGAAAGGGACGGCUAACUACGUG
This 505-nucleotide ribosomal RNA is filed under the name uncultured bacterium. RNAcentral describes it as "partial 16S ribosomal RNA". It matches the Rfam family "Bacterial small subunit ribosomal RNA", at positions 28 to 507 of the family's 1533-position model. The record is from RNAcentral.